CUUGGGAUAUUAUUUUUGCGAGAUAUAUAUCUUUGACUUCAUCAUGAAGUGGUUUGAAUAAUUUCCGAUGCACCAACCUAAGCCAUGCAGGCAUGCAUGAAUCAAUCUUCGUGGCAUUGCACAAGUCAAAAAGAUGAGAAAAAAAAGAGUAAACUGAAAUCAAGGGUGAUGGGUUAUUGUAAAACCAGAGAGAAGGAGUGGAAAUAAAAUGGAUGACUGAGGAGGGGAUGUUUAAGAAAAAGGAAAAAAUAAAUUUAUUUAAGCAUUUUUACAUGGAAAAAAAAUAGAGAACUGUAUUUAGAACAUGUGAAAGUGUAAAUAGCAAGAGCCAUUAGAUUACAGGCUUUACUAUUAAAUUUCUAGCCCGGUCUAGGUUUUUGCAAUCUAAUGGGCCGGUCCAUUUUUUCUUGGGGGUUACUCCCUGCACCUCCCCAAUUCCAACCCCCACCCCCAUUCCAUUUUUACCCUUUCCUCUAUUUUUUCUAUUCCAAUUUUAUCCUUUAGCAAAAAUUUAUAUUUAGAAAUACAAUUUUAUAAUUUUAUUCUCCCACCCCCACAUAACCUAUUUAUUUUUUUUUUAUCUUCAUGCUUUCAUUUUUACGCUUUCUUCCCACGAAUUUUUUGUUCUAUUUUUCUAGAAAUUCUUUCUCCCAUUCUUCUUGUAUUUCAAGUGAUAAUUGAGAUAUCGAUUUGUUCUGAAAGAAUUUGUCCUUAAAUUAUUAUAUCUCUGCAUUACAUUGGUGUGGUGGUGUUCUAUCCAACCUCAACAUUGGUGUGGUGGUAUUCUAUCCAACCUCAGCAGCGAUCCUCUUGGAGUCCAGGUUAGUAGUACUUUCGUAAAACCGUUAGAACGAAUGGCGACUUCCGUUUAUCCUUAAACGGAUGUUGACAUCCGUUGACGGAUUCCCAGAUCCGUUUAAGCGAUUUUAGAUUAUAUUAUGUUUUUGUUAGUUUUAUUUUUUAAGAUUUGUUUUUAUUAAUUUUAUUUUUUAAGAUUUGUUUUUAUUAAUUUUAUUUUUUAAGAUUUGUUUUUAUUAGUUUAUUUUUUAGGAUUUGUUUUUAUUAGUUUUAUUUUUUAAGAUUUGUUUUUAUUAGAUUUUUAUUUUAUUAGUUUUAUUUUUUAAGAUUUGUUUUUAUUAGUUCACUUUNN
Molecule: long non-coding RNA, 1150 nt
Filed under: Vigna radiata
Lineage: Eukaryota; Viridiplantae; Streptophyta; Magnoliopsida; Fabales; Fabaceae
Description: long non-coding RNA (VRAD_LNC009338)
Source: RNAcentral